RNAcentral lists this ribosomal RNA (305 nucleotides) under uncultured bacterium. Its description in RNAcentral is "bacterial SSU rRNA". It matches the Rfam family "Bacterial small subunit ribosomal RNA", at positions 333 to 655 of the family's 1533-position model. The record is from RNAcentral.
UUUACCCUACGGGGCGCAGCAGUGGGGGAUAUUGCACAAUGGGGGGAACCCUGAUGCGGCGACGCCGCGUGAGCGAUGGAGUACUUCGGUAUGUAAAGCUCUGUCAGCAGGGAAGAAAAUGACGGUACCUGACCAAGAAGCCCCGGCUAAAUACGUGCCAGCAGCCGCGGUAAUACGUAUGGGGCAAGCGUUAUCCGGAUUUACUGGGUGUAAAGGGAGCGUAGACGGUAGAGCAAGUCUGAAGUGAAAGCCCGCGGCUCAACUGCGGGACUGCUUUGGAAACUGUUCAACUGGAGUGCUGGAGG